Gasterosteus aculeatus aculeatus (three-spined stickleback) is the source of this 954-nucleotide non-coding RNA. The record is from RefSeq and is a predicted model, not a curated record. Lineage: Eukaryota; Metazoa; Chordata; Actinopteri; Perciformes; Gasterosteidae.
CGAUCAGGUCCCAUUCAAAUAUUUCUUGAUUACUGAUUUGUUUCCUUUUUUUUUUACAACCACCCCCCACCCCCAGGUCUCUGUGUCCCUCCCACCCCUCGAUCCCCCCUGUGUGCGAGUCCCUCGUCUCAGCUUUGGUUGCUGUGCAGAUGGCUCUUUGUUGGUGCUUCACAAUGGGUCUAAGGACCUCAAAGGCCAAGAAAGCCAGGCAGACCAUGCAGGACACUGCUGUUCAAAACAAAAGAGCUCAGUUUGCCCUCCACCAAUGUGUCCAAUUAUAGGGACCCCUCCCCCGCCUAAUCCAGACCCCUAUGCUCUUUCAUGGGCCCUCUUACCCCUGCAGCACUGACAUUCCACAACUCAGGUCAGUCCUUUGUCCUGAAGAAAGUAAGUGAAAUUAUUGUGUUGCACUUCCCAUCCUAUAUCCUGGAACUAAUGCAAAACACUUUAUUUACUGUCAAACAUAUUAUAUUGCAAAAACAAAGACGUCUUUCUCUCAUACAGCACUGCUUUAUGUUUUUCCAUAAUUUUGAACAACUUCAAAACAGGUCUCCUGUUCCUACUUGUGGAAAGUGUGGUAAAGACUCCGGUUGUGGGAAAAUGAGAAGUUUGAAAAAAGUGCCCACAUGAAUUAAAUAUAUUUUACAACCCGGUUAGCUGCAACAGUUACUUACCUGCACAGUGAAAUAGGCUGAUAGAUACACAUGGAAACAUGUUGAGUUGGGCAAAUAAGAAAAAAAAGCGGACAGGAAAUGAUCUCACAAACACUCUCCCACUGAUUGCUCCCAUUUUCCAGUUACAGAAAAAGAGUGAGUAAUGCCUGCUGCUGCUUUGAGUCCGCUCUUCUGUUCCUCCCCUGGAUCUACUGAGAACAUUACAUUGUGGAUGUCCGCCUCAGUGCUCUGUAGUCUCCACAUGGUCUUUAUUCCUCAAAUAAAAGGAUAUUACACGUCA